GCCUGGGUGGCUCAGUCAGUUAAGUAUCUGACUUCUGCUCAGGUCACGAUCUCACAGUUCGUGGGUUCAAGCCCCGCGUCGGGCU
Molecule: transfer RNA, 85 nt
Filed under: Felis catus (domestic cat)
Lineage: Eukaryota; Metazoa; Chordata; Mammalia; Carnivora; Felidae
Rfam family: tRNA
About the family: Transfer RNA (tRNA) molecules are approximately 80 nucleotides in length. Their secondary structure includes four short double-helical elements and three loops (D, anti-codon, and T loops). Further hydrogen bonds mediate the characteristic L-shaped molecular structure. tRNAs have two regions of fundamental functional importance: the anti-codon, which is responsible for specific mRNA codon recognition, and the 3' end, to which the tRNAs corresponding amino acid is attached (by aminoacyl-tRNA synthetases). tRNAs cope with the degeneracy of the genetic code in two manners: having more than one tRNA (with a specific anti-codon) for a particular amino acid; and 'wobble' base-pairing, i.e. permitting non-standard base-pairing at the 3rd anti-codon position.
Source: Rfam by way of RNAcentral